RNAcentral lists this unclassified non-coding RNA (2805 nucleotides) under Apis dorsata (giant honeybee). RNAcentral describes it as "nADPH:adrenodoxin oxidoreductase, mitochondrial, transcript variant X5". Lineage: Eukaryota; Metazoa; Arthropoda; Insecta; Hymenoptera; Apidae. The record is from RNAcentral.
AUAUUCAUAGUUUUUACGAAAUAAAAUAAUAUAAUUUUUUUGUCAAUUUUUGUUAACUAAACAAAGUAUUAUAUUUAUUAUCAUAUAAUGAAAAGGUGAGAAAUUAUAUCUGUCAAAAAUAAGAAGUCAGCCAAGGCAAUUAUAUGAAAGAAUUUUAAUCUUUAAAUGUUGAAAAAAUUAUUAAAUUCUUUUAAAAAAUUAAAUAUAUUUAUAAUUUAUAUAUUCUUAUUUUAUACUUUAAAUUAACUUUAAAUUAAUUCUUUACAUAAAAAGAAUUAUACUGAUUAUGUGAUUAUACGCGAAUAAGUGUAAUAAUUAAAUUAUUGAUUAAACAAUGGAAACAGAGGAAUAUGAUUUUAAAAAACAACAGUUAUUACAUACAAAUAAAGAUUGUAUGCAUAAAAAUCAAACUCAAAAUGAACAUAUAAAUAAUUUAUUUAAUAAACGUUUUACAAUUGUAAAUAAUGAAUGUUAUACAAUGCCUGAACCAACAACUAUGUUUAAAGAUUGUUUAUGGACAGUCGAUGAAUUACAAUUAAUAAAAAAUGAAUUAAAUGCCAUAAAGAAUUGUUUAAAUAAUUAUGAUCCUGAUAAAUGGCAAUUACAUACAAGAAUAAGAAACAGUGCAAAAGAUGUUAUGACUCGAUUGAAAACUUAUAUUCAACCAGAACUUUUAACUCAAGCAUGGUGUAAAUUUUAUGAAAUAGUAUCAUCGUUUCCUUUAAUACCAAUGAAUUAUAUUUGUAAUAAUAAUAAAUGUUUUAAAUCUGUUCAUUUAUGUGAAGCACCUGGAGCUUUCAUCACAUCUUUAAAUCAUUGGUUAAAAACAAAUGUUCCUAAUAUUAAAUGGGAUUGGCUUGCUAUGACCUUAAAUCCAUAUUAUGAAGGUAAUCCGGCAUCUAUAAUGGUUGAUGAUGACAGGUUCAUUAGACACACAUUAAAUCAUUGGUGUUUUGGAGAAGAUAAUACCGGAAAUCUUAUGAAUUUAAAAAAUUUGAAUGAACUUAUAAAAGUAGCACAGCCACAUUGUAAUAUAUUCUUGAUUACUGCAGAUGGUAGUAUAGACUGUACAGAUGUUCCAGCAGAACAAGAAAGUGUUUUAAUACAUUUACAUUUUUGUGAAACCAUAACUGCAUUACAAUUAUUAGCUACUGGAGGGAGUUUUUUAUUAAAAAUUUUUACUAUUUUUGAAUGUAAUACAAUAUGUCUGAUAUAUUUAUUAUCUUGUUGUUUUAGUAAUGUGAGUGUUAUAAAACCAGCAACAAGUAAAGAAGGAAAUUCAGAAACAUAUGUUGUAUGUACAAACUUUAAAGGACCAACAUUUAUCUCACCUUAUUUAGAAAAAUUAAAAGAGCAUUAUGAAUAUGGUCCUAAACAAGCAAUUUUUAGUAAGCAUGAUAUUCCAUAUGCAUUUAUGGAAAAAAUUAUACAAUGUAGUGAAUUUUUUAAAUCUCAUCAAUGUCUUGUUAUAGUAAACAAUAUUGUUACAUUUAACUCUGAUGAAUCUAAAAUGUUACAAAAUACAAAACAAAUUCAGUGUAUGGUAGCUGAUAAAUAUGUUAAAGAUUAUAAUGUAAAAAAAUUAGAAACAGGAGAAAUUGUAGGAAACAUAAUUAUAUUAGGAAGAACCAUUAAUACAAAUCAAUAUAAAAGAUCAUUACAAGGAUCAUAUAAUGAACGUUGUGAAAAACAACAAUUAGCACCUUUAGAUAGGAUAGAAAGUUUUUGUAAUGAUUUUAAUAAAAUUGAAAUUCAUGUAUCAUCUGAUGAAGUUGUAAAAUACAAAUUCUCUGAAUUCCCAGAAGAUUUGCAAAUUCGUUCAGGAAAAGUGUUUCACAAAAUAUAUAAUUCCAAAUUUUGUAAUAAAAAUGCUUUGAAGAUAUUAAAUGGUAUUGAUGACAUCCUUAAUAAAAUAAAUUUGAAAAUACAAUUUCCUUCGAUAGAGAGUAUAGAGAAUUUAAAAGCUAAAAUUCUUUGUAAACCAAAACAUGAAAUUUUAAUUUUUCGAUAUACAGAUAUUUAUGAUGGUCAUGAAAUAAUCACAGAAAUUUAUGAUACAUUACAAAAACUCGAAAUUGGAACAACAUUAGUUUUAAUUGGUUAUUCAUUGUUUACUCACCUUAGUAUUGAACUUCUUUAUCUUAUAAGCUGUGCUUUUAAUUUGUUAAAAAUUACAAUAUGCAAUCACGUAGGAUUGAAAAUCACAUUACAUCAUUAUAAUUACAAUCCUAAAAUAUUAAGAUUCUUAAAUGAAAUUAAAGCUGCUUCUUUUGAAGCUCAAAAACAAGGGAAAGCUAUUUUGGAAAUAAUUUCUCCAUCACUAUUUUAUAAAGGGUGUUAUUUAUGCUAUUCAGCAGACCUUAAUCAUUGGGUCAUAAAAACAUACAUUCAUUAUGUAUUACAUAUGAUGAAACAAAGUAUAAAUUAAAAGAUGAUCCAAAAUAAACCAAAGUUGUACCAAAUUUUUGAUAUAAUAAAAUAUAAAUGCAUAUUUGUCAAUGAUUAAUACAAAUCUCUACUAUGAAAUUUAAUAAAAUGUACAAAUAUGUUCGUUUAUUUUCAACUGAACAUAUUGUACCAAGAAUAUGUAUUAUUGGAGCAGGACCAGCAGGAUUUUAUACUGCGCAACAAUUAUUAAAGACAAUUAAUAAUGUAAGAGUGGAUUUAUUGGAAAAAUUACCAGUACCGUAUGGUUUAGUACGUUUUGGUGUAGCUCCAGAUCAUCCAGAAGUGAAGAAUGUUAUUCAUACAUUUGAAAAAACUGCAUCUAAUCCACGUUUUCGGUUUAUAGGGAAUGUUAAUAUA